RNAcentral lists this ribosomal RNA (503 nucleotides) under uncultured bacterium. Its description in RNAcentral is "partial 16S ribosomal RNA". It matches the Rfam family "Bacterial small subunit ribosomal RNA", at positions 28 to 523 of the family's 1533-position model. The record is from RNAcentral.
GAUGAACGCUAGCGGCAGGCCUAACACAUGCAAGUCGAGGGGUAGCAGGAUUAAGCUUGCUUAAUUGCUGACGACCGGCGCACGGGUGCGUAACGCGUAUGCAACCUACCUUAUACUGGGGUAUAGCCCGGAGAAAUUCGGAUUAAUCCCCCAUAGUACUAAUGAAUCGCAUGGUUUAUUAGUUAAAGCAUUGCGGUAUAAGAUGGGCAUGCGUCCUAUUAGCUAGAGGGUGAGGUAAAGGCUCACCAUGGCUACGAUAGGUAGGGGGCCUGAGAGGGUGGUCCCCCACACUGGUACUGAGACACGGACCAGACUCCUACGGGAGGCAGCAGUGAGGAAUAUUGGUCAAUGGGCGCAAGCCUGAACCAGCCAUGCCGCGUGCAGGAAGAAUGCCCUAUGGGUUGUAAACUGCUUUUAUUUGGGAAUAAACCUCUUUACGUGUAGAGAGCUGAAGGUACCAAAUGAAUAAGCACCGGCUAACUCCGUGCCAGCCGCCGCAGUAA